RNAcentral lists this unclassified non-coding RNA (168 nucleotides) under Aspergillus spinosus. RNAcentral describes it as "ITS2". The record is from RNAcentral. Lineage: Eukaryota; Fungi; Ascomycota; Eurotiomycetes; Eurotiales; Aspergillaceae.
UGCUGCCCUCAAGCACGGCUUGUGUGUUGGGCCGCCGUCCCCGGUUCUCCCCCGGGGACGGGCCCGAAAGGCAGCGGCGGCACCGCGUCCGGUCCUCGAGCGUAUGGGGCUUCGUCACCCGCUCUGUAGGCCCGGCCGGCGCCAGCCGACACCCAACUUUAUUUCUAA